Molecule: long non-coding RNA, 1720 nt
Filed under: Homo sapiens (human)
Lineage: Eukaryota; Metazoa; Chordata; Mammalia; Primates; Hominidae
Description: Putative chemokine-related protein FP248, transcript variant 1 (LOC107983985)
Source: RNAcentral
CUCUCACCAGGCAGGUCCAGAGGAAGUGGCGGGCGCUGAGGCCCCUCUCCCAGGCCAGCGUGCAGAAGAGGGUGUGCAGUAGCCGCCAGCGGAGCAGCACAGCACAGCGGUAGAAGGUGAACUUGGCCUGCUGCAGGGACAGGCGUGGAGGGUCACCCACCGCCUAUGUCUGAGCCCUUUCCCCUAGAGGCCACAGGCCUCCAUGGGCACUGGAGGCAGCCUGCUGUGCGGGUGUUCCCUGGUUCUGUCCUGCUUGUGCCCCUCGGCAAGCCUCCCCGACCCUGGCAACAGCACCUGGCCCCCCGGAGCCCAGGCUGGUCUGCCCGCGGCCCUGGCCCUGCCCCUUCCACGGUUGCCCCGUAUCCUUUUCCCCAUGGCAGGGAGACCCGCGAGGCCAAGCUCUGACUUCGUGGGCUGUGCACAGGGCAUGUGCUGCCACGGCAGGCAGGGCACAGUCCAUAUUCACACAAGCUCUGUGAGCUGCUGGACCCCCUGCCCCGUUACAGGGACUGGGGGCACAGCAGUGAGCAGAAAAGACCGGGUCCUGCCGCAUCGACGGCAAGUCUCGCUCGCAUGCGUGUGCGCAGUGGGGGAGCGGGCAGGCCAACUGUGGUCACAGAAACCAGUGCAGAUGGCCAGACCCUCUGCCCGCCACUUGCUGCCCCGUGGGAGCUCCCCCAACUCUCAGGCAGUGCUGCUGCCAUCCGUCUGCCCCGUACCCUGGCCUCCUGUGGGUCCCAGCCCUGGCCAAGGUGAAGGCCUAUCACCUGCCUUUCCUGGGGUGGGCACUGACCGUGGCGACAGCUGGGCAUUGGUCCUUCAGGUGUAGGAGCAGGGGCACCAUGCUCUGGUGCACCUGGGUCCGCAGGCCGCUCAGCUCCCUGUCUGCCAUGGCCGCCACCAGGUCCCCGAACAGUGCCAUGGCUGCCGCCCGAAUCCCGUCCCGCUCCUGCAAGGCAGAGGCUCAGAGGCACGGCCAGACCUGUCCAGGGGUCCCAGCUUUGGUCCAAGUUGGGACCCCACACCUUGUAGGGGUACAACUCAGUUCUUUCUGCAGGAUUCCUUCACCCAGGCUCUCGGCUCCCGGGGAAGGGAAGGGCUGGGGCUCCCCCCUCACACAGGGCUCUCUGGUGUCCCUGAGGAUGUAAGAAUCACAUCUCCCUUCUACCCACAACUGCAUCCUGGCAGCCCAGGCCUCAUGAAUGCAUUUGAGGGGCGCCUAUCCCCCAGAUUCCCCAGUGAAGGAAAAACAGCCACGCUAACCGUGCUGACAUGUCAGAAAGCAAAUCUGGGUAGGCUGUCGUGGGGCCGGAGACCACUGCACUUGGAGACUGAACGUGAGAACUAGUUCAGCCCUGUGGAGAAGGGGGUCUCACACUGUCACCCAGGCUGGAGUACAGUGGUGUGACCAUAGCUUACUGCAGCCUUGACCUCCCAGGCUCAAGCAAUCCUCCCAACAUAACCUCCUGAGUAGCUGGGUCUACAGCCAGUUCCGUCUUCUCCACUUGAUUGCGUGUUUGCAGUGAUUUCCUGAGUUAUCGGGAUGAAUGGUCAGAAAGCAGUGUGCCCACCAAUGGAUGUUUCCUGCCAUUGGGCCCCUUAGCAGUGACUUGGGUGCAAACCAGGGUGAUUUUUACAACUUUUAAACAAGUUUAAAGCAGCUUUGUUGGCUUUCUUAGCUGUUUGCUUUGAAAAUAUUAAAUUCAUUUUCAGCAAGUGA